RNAcentral lists this ribosomal RNA (497 nucleotides) under uncultured bacterium. RNAcentral's name for it is "partial 16S ribosomal RNA". It matches the Rfam family "Bacterial small subunit ribosomal RNA", at positions 28 to 507 of the family's 1533-position model. The record is from RNAcentral.
GAUGAACGCUGGCGGCGUGCCUAAUACAUGCAAGUCGAGCGAACAGAUGAGGAGCUUGCUCCUCUGACGUUAGCGGCGGACGGGUGAGUAACACGUGGAUAACCUACCUAUAAGACUGGGAUAACUUCGGGAAACCGGAGCUAAUACCGGAUAAUAUAUUGAACCGCAUGGUUCAAUAGUGAAAGACGGUUUUGCUGUCACUUAUAGAUGGAUCCGCGCCGCAUUAGCUAGUCGGUAAGGUAACGGCUUACCAAGGCAACGAUGCGUAGCCGACCCGAGAGGGUGAUCGGCCACACUGGAACUGAGACACGGUCCAGACUCCUACGGGAGGCAGCAGUAGGGAAUCUUCCGCAAUGGGCGAAAGCCUGACGGAGCAACGCCGCGUGAGUGAUGAAGGUCUUCGGAUCGUAAAACUCUGUUAUUAGGGAAGAACAAAUGUGUAAGUAACUAUGCACGUCUUGACGGUACCUAAUCAGAAAGCCACGGCUAACUACGUG